Acanthosepion pharaonis is the source of this 113-nucleotide non-coding RNA. The record is from the annotation of a GenBank genome assembly. Lineage: Eukaryota; Metazoa; Mollusca; Cephalopoda; Sepiida; Sepiidae.
UAUGGCCAUAUCAUGUUAUAACACUGGUUCUCAUAUGAUCAUUGAAGUUAAGCACUGCUGAGCCUGGUCAGUACCUAGAUGGGUGACUGCUUGUGAAUAUCAGGUGCCGUAAG